CGCCUCUUGACAAACUUAUAAGAGGUCCAGCCUGCCCAGUGACUUUGUUCAACGGCCGCGGUAUCCUAACCGUGCGAAGGUAGCGUAAUCACUUGUUCUUUAAAUGAGGACUAGUAUGAAUGGCAUCACGAAGGUUAUACUGUCUCCUUUUUCUAAUCAGUGAAACUAAUCUUCCCGUGAAGAAACGGGAAUAGUAAUAUAAGACGAGAAGACCCUAUGGAGCUUUAAACAAAUAUACAAUUGCCCACUUAAUUAAAAAUUUCAGAAGAUAAAUACUUACCUAGGCACUUUGAUAUAAAGUUUUAGGUUGGGGUGACCGCGGAGCAAAAGACAACCUCCACAGUGAAAGGGGGGAUCCCCCUAAACUAAGGGCUACUACCCUAAGUAUCAAUAAACUGACACCAGUUGACCCAAUACACUUGAUCAACGAACCAAGUUACCCUAGGGAUAACAGCGCAAUCCACUUCAAGAGCUCCUAUCGACAAGUGGGUUUACGACCUCGAUGUUGGAUCAGGGUAUCCUAGUGGUGCAGCCGCUACUAACGGUUCGUUUGUUCAACGAUUAAAACCCU
RNAcentral lists this ribosomal RNA (571 nucleotides) under Leptodactylus gracilis (Dumeril's striped frog). RNAcentral's name for it is "partial large subunit ribosomal RNA". It matches the Rfam family "Bacterial large subunit ribosomal RNA", at positions 1816 to 2597 of the family's 2925-position model. The record is from RNAcentral. Lineage: Eukaryota; Metazoa; Chordata; Amphibia; Anura; Leptodactylidae.